UNGCAUUGCGCAGGUUAAGAGACCCUAGU
RNAcentral lists this non-coding RNA (29 nucleotides) under Mus musculus (house mouse). Lineage: Eukaryota; Metazoa; Chordata; Mammalia; Rodentia; Muridae. The record is from RNAcentral.